AGUGAACGCUGGCGGUAGGCCUAACACAUGCAAGUCGAACGGCAGCACAGUAAGAGCUUGCUCUUACGGGUGGCGAGUGGCGGACGGGUGAGGAAUACAUCGGAAUCUACUUUUUCGUGGGGGAUAACGUAGGGAAACUUACGCUAAUACCGCAUACGACCUACGGGUGAAAGCAGGGGAUCUUCGGACCUUGCCCGAUUGAAUGAGCCGAUGUCGGAUUAGCUAGUUGGCGGGGUAAAGGCCCACCAAGGCGACGAUCCGUAGCUGGUCUGAGAGGAUGAUCAGCCACACUGGAACUGAGACACGGUCCAGACUCCUACGGGAGGCAGCAGUGGGGAAUAUUGGACAAUGGGCGCAAGCCUGAUCCGGCCAUACCGCGUGGGUGAAGAAGGCCUUCGGGUUGUAAAGCCCUUUUGUUGGGAAAGAAAAGCAGCAGGUUAAUACCCCGCUGUUCUGACGGUACCCAAAGAAUAAGCACCGGCUAACUUCGUG
Molecule: ribosomal RNA, 492 nt
Filed under: uncultured bacterium
Lineage: Bacteria
Description: partial 16S ribosomal RNA
Rfam family: Bacterial small subunit ribosomal RNA
Source: RNAcentral